This is a long non-coding RNA of Oxyura jamaicensis (ruddy duck), 615 nucleotides long. RefSeq lists it as uncharacterized. The record is from RefSeq and is a predicted model, not a curated record. The transcript is spliced from 3 exons. NCBI's taxonomy places the organism in Eukaryota, Metazoa, Chordata, Aves, Anseriformes, Anatidae.
ACUAGGGUGCUAUAGGGUAUAAUGGCGUUCUAUAGGGCACAGUGGGGUGCUAUAGGGUACAGUGGGGUUCUAUAGGGUUCUAUAGGGCACAGCGGGGUUCUAUAGGGCUUUAUGGGACACAGUGGGGUGCUAUAGGGCACAGUGGGGUGCUAUAGGGUUCUAUAGGGUGCAGUGGGGUUCUAUAGGGCACAGUGGGGUUCUAUAGGGUUCUAUAGGGCGCAGUGGGGUUCUAUAGGGCACAAUGGGGUUCUAUAGGGCACAGUGGGGUGCUAUAGGGUGCUAUAAGGCACAGUGGGGUGCUAUAGAGCGCUAUAGGGCACAGUGGGGUGCUAUAGGGUUCUAUAGGGCACAGUGGGGUUCUAUAGGGCACAGUGGGGUGCUAUAGGGCACAAUGGGGUGCUAUAGGGUGCAGUGGGGCGCUAUAGGGCACGGUGGGGUUCUAUAGGGUUCUAUAGGGUGCAGUGGGGUUCUAUAGGGUGCUAUAGGGCACAAUGGGGUGCUAUAGGGCGCAGUGGGGUGCUAUAGGGUUCUAUAGGGCACAGUGGGGUUCUAUAGGGCACAAUGGGGUGCUAUAGGGCACAUUGGGGUGCUAUAGGGCACAAUGGGGUGCUAUAG